GUUCCUCCAGGCGGCAGCCAUGACCAUCCCAGGGCUGGAAAGGCCCACACACUUCAGUGUACUUCGCCUUUUUCCAGUUGUUAUCCCCCUAAAAGAACUCAGUGACAUGGCCUGUGUAAAAUAAUUUGGAAUGAUCUCUCUGUAACUUAAUUAUAAUAGGACGUCAUCUACUUGUGAAAACUUUUUGUGUCUUUUGCAUUUAAUCAGUUAGAGAUGUCUGGUUAUCUAUAGCACUGUUCUUUUAAAAAAAUAAAAAUUAUUUAACUGCAUUAAAAUAAAUGGAAGGCAUUACAUAUUUGAAAACUGGGGAAAUUUAUU
RNAcentral lists this long non-coding RNA (318 nucleotides) under Mustela putorius furo (domestic ferret). RNAcentral's name for it is "lncRNA (ENSMPUG00000024229.1)". Lineage: Eukaryota; Metazoa; Chordata; Mammalia; Carnivora; Mustelidae. The record is from RNAcentral.